UUGUGCAAAAUAAGUCUAAGUAGAGUAAUACAUUAAAAGGGGCUAUUUGAAUAAUACAAACGCAAGAAAGCAAAGAAGUCCAUCUGCUCUUAUUUCUACUUUUGGUCCAGGCGCUUGGAUGGCCCGAUUCUCUCAACAGUCCGUUAGCCCACUUCUAUACCCGGUCCAGCCCUUUCAGCCACCAAAACGACACCGUUCCAGUCCCAAUUAAUCUCUGCCGUCCAUCAGAUCUCAUCUGACGACAGAGACUGUCCUAAAAUACCUCAUUUCUAACCUAAUACACUCUCCUUCCUCUCUAUCAUCAGCCGCCACCAAUCACCCCACCUGAAAUCGCUCAGUUGAGCGUGCCACCCUAAAACCGCCGUUGACCACCGUUGACCAUCGCCGGAGUCAGCCAAACGACGUGAAACCACCAUGUUUCUUCUCCUCUUUUUCUCCUCUACAUCAUCAUAAUAAGAUCGUACUCCCAUUUCGACCCCGCCAUUACCCCAUAGAAAUACUUAAUCCAUUCGGCCCUGCUCCGAUUACCUUGACCUUUAAUACCGGCAUACCUCUACACAUAUAUCAUUAGAUAGAUCUUAAAAAGAUCUAUUCAAUGAUAUAAGUAUUAGGGUAUUUCAAAGUUCAAGUCCUGGCCAAAUCUUGCUGAAACUACUUCUGGCAUUUCACUUAGAGGUCAAAAGGCCCAUUAGGUGUGAAAGUUCAGGAGACGAGUUUGGGUAUGGGCCUGGUGGUCAGAUGGCCCAAGUCUUUUGGUACCCGUGAGGUUAAUAAAGAAGGUUGAGUUUAGGAAUUAAACUUGAGAAAUAUUUUCUGUAACUGUUUUAGAAAGUUCUAGGAGAUAGGAAAGGGUUAAACAUCAAUAAAGAAGAUAUAGAGGUUGGGGUUUGAAAGAGUAAUAAACAGAAUUUAGAAGGAGUAAAAAGAAAAGGAAAUAACUAAAAAUACAGCCUCUAUUCUGUUACAAAAUAGUACCCCCCCCCCCCCCAACACCACACACACACACACACUUUAGAGAUUAUCAUUUAUUCACUCUCACUCAGCUCACACAGAAUUCAUACAUACUCAUUCCUUCCUUCACACGCACCUUCUUAAUUUGCAAAGGCUGAAAAUAAUUUUUCUGCAUUCAAAUUUGAAUUCCAGAUUUGAAAAGAAAAAAAAAACUCCAAAAAAAUAACAAACAAAAACAAUUCAGAAAAAGGCUGUAGUUGGUUCUGUGGUUUCAAAAAUAAUUUCCUCUGCAUUUCUGGGUUUUGAAGACAUUUCAGCUUGGAAUUUCUGUUGUUUGUUGCUGUUCUUUGUCAAUUAGUAGCUGAGCUUCAGUUUGUAGCUAUGUUUAGCCUUUAUUUGGCCAUUUAAGAUCUACUUGCUGCUUGCACCCAAGGGUGUGGCCUAGUGGUCAAUGAAGUGGGUGAGAAUCUUGAGGUCUCAGUUCAAAUCCCAGCUUCUUCCCAUCUAUCCAAGCCUUGGUGGAUAGAGUUACCUGUUGCUGGUGUGAGGUGGGAGGUAUCCCGUGGAAUUAGUCGAGGUGCGCGCAAGCUGGCCCGGACACCACGGUUAUAAAAAAAAAAAAGAUCUACUUGCUUCUUUUAAGGUACUGAUUUCCGCCACCUCCGAUGUAACAGUUGUUUGAAUUUUAUAUUACCAUCAAGCUUGUAAUCAUAGGCUACUUAUGUGUUCUGUAAAUGUUCCUUGGGGUACUUAGUCAUUUAUGGGUUUGAUAAAUACUCUCUUCUAUGUCUAUUUGCCAGAUUAGAACUAGAUUGGAGUUUUAGUGUACAAAACUAGUAUAAAUAUGAGCAUAAAUUGUUCAUGCUAUAAUGAUCAUGAAGGCAUUUUUAAAUUAUAAUGGUUGACCAGUUAAAAUAGAGCUAGAAUUGAGAUUUUCAGGUUGAAUCGAAGCUGCAGAAAUGUCCAUUUCCAGCAGUAAUGUAUUUGUCAGUGUUAGAUAGAUCUGGAAAUUUGAAGAAGAAAUAUGAAAAAGUUCGUUUGUAUAAUGAUUUGAUCUCAGUUAUGUUGAUAUUUAGUCUAUGGUUCAAAGACUAUUUUUCUGUAUAGUUUGUGUAAAAUGAGUUUAAAACAGGUUUGUAAUAACUCCGUUCAUCAAUGAUUGUAACUAAUCAGUAGGUCAAUAAAUGUUGUUCAUAUUAUUUUCGUUUUGUGUUAA
This is a long non-coding RNA of Nicotiana tabacum (common tobacco), 2167 nucleotides long. RefSeq lists it as uncharacterized. Lineage: Eukaryota; Viridiplantae; Streptophyta; Magnoliopsida; Solanales; Solanaceae. The record is from RefSeq and is a predicted model, not a curated record.